Zingiber officinale is the source of this 1412-nucleotide long non-coding RNA. RefSeq lists it as uncharacterized. The record is from RefSeq and is a predicted model, not a curated record. The transcript is spliced from 3 exons. NCBI's taxonomy places the organism in Eukaryota, Viridiplantae, Streptophyta, Magnoliopsida, Zingiberales, Zingiberaceae.
CCAGGUCCCUGCCCACAGGUGACAGCCACUGACGCCGACCCACCCCUUCCCCGGCCAUCGGACUUCGAGUCACCAGCCGUACCUGUUCAGCUCGAGGCACUCAGUCUCCGGUCCCCUCCUACUUCACAUCGGGAACUCCCUUUCUCCUCUCCUCAAUUCACUUCCCAAUUCCGUGCCUGGUAACAUCAUUAACUCCCAUCAAUAUAACUCUAUACGCGCACCAUCACCACCUCCCCCCUCCCUCUCGAGAUGAGUUAUCGUGCGUGUGCGUCACGCGUGCGAAGAGGAGGCGAAAUAAUAAUAAGCUAAUGAUGACGAGAGAGAGAGAGAGAGAAGCGGAGGAAGAGCUAACGGGCAGAAGCAGGUACGUACAAGGCGGAGGAGCGCGGUGGAAUUGUUUGAGGUCGACUACCUGCCAAUGCAUACCCAGGUCAGGUGAUGAGUUCAUACUUUCAUACAUAUAGUAUUCCCUCCGCAUCACAUGACUGACAACCAAUUUAUUACCUCCUCCACCCAAAAACAAAACAAAACAAAAAACAAUCAAUUGACGUUUUGGUUGAUUGAUCCGUGGACGAUCGGCACGAUGAUCAUUUAUUACGGGAACGAAGGAAUCUGUGGGUGUCGCAAUAAAUGACCGUCUCUGCUCCAGCGUUUGUACUUCUCUCAUGCUGCGCUAGCUGCACUGGACUAGCUAGCUCCUACGCUUUAUGUUCCCACUCCUCUUAAUGCCGACGUCUGAGCUUCUUCGUCUUCUACAAGUCACAGAGCAUCUUCCUGCUGAGAAAGAAGCAUGGCGCUGGCGUGCGCGUUGUUUGGAGGUGAGGUUAUGGGGAAUGUUGUCUGGCUCGAGGUCUUCAAUGGCCACCGUAUAUCUACGUAAUCUGCUUCAUGCAGGUGAGUCGAUUCGAGUUUGUGCCUAAGUGAGCUCGGACCAGGCUUCAUUCCUCAUAACCGACAUUUUUGCCUCCAUUUCAUAGUUCCCUACGGCCAAAGAUUUUGAAGGCAAAUGACGAAGAAGAAGCAGAACAAGAAGAGAAGGAAAUGCAUGGAACCAGAGCGCCUUUCUCGCUGCCAAAGUGUGUCUGAAUGAUGCAUUUAAUGCAGGCACUGUGCAAGUACUACAGCUCCUCCACCGCCAAAUGAAGCAGUACUGGUGUUUGCGUUUAAAGAGAGCUGGGAAAGGAGGACAUAAAAUUUGUGUUGGUUCGAGCAAUGACUUUGUUCGUAUUGCAUUAAUAGAAAAGCUCCGGCGCAGUGUUUCAGCUGCAUAUCUGCUCAAAGUUAAUGAUAAACAUUGUGGUCCUCUCAGUUACUGCGCAAUGCAUGACAGCCCAUCAUGUAGUCUUCCAGUGUGCAAUUAUAUGCACGGCCUAUAUCUUUUUAAUUUGCACAUAUAUUAUUUAUGUAGAGGA